AUUGAACGCUGGCGGCAGGCCUAACACAUGCAAGUCGAACGGUAACAGGGAUCAGCUUGCUGAUUCGCUGACGAGUGGCGGACGGGUGAGUAAUGUCUGGGAAACUGCCUGAUGGAGGGGGAUAACUACUGGAAACGGUAGCUAAUACCGCAUAACGUCGCAAGACCAAAGAGGGGGACCUUCGGGCCUCUUGCCAUCGGAUGUGCCCAGAUGGGAUUAGCUAGUAGGUGGGGUAACGGCUCACCUAGGCGACGAUCCCUAGCUGGUCUGAGAGGAUGACCAGCCACACUGGAACUGAGACACGGUCCAGACUCCUACGGGAGGCAGCAGUGAGGAAUAUUGCACAAUGGGCGCAAGCCUGAUGCAGCCAUGCCGCGUGUAUGAAGAAGGCCUUCGGGUUGUAAAGUACUUUCAGCGGGGAGGAAGGGAGUAAAGUUAAUACCUUUGCUCAUUGACGUUACCCGCAGAAGAAGCACCGGCUAACUCCGUG
Molecule: ribosomal RNA, 490 nt
Filed under: uncultured bacterium
Lineage: Bacteria
Description: partial 16S ribosomal RNA
Rfam family: Bacterial small subunit ribosomal RNA
Source: RNAcentral